This 216-nucleotide ribosomal RNA is filed under the name Glomeromycotina sp. RNAcentral describes it as "partial small subunit ribosomal RNA". The stretch from base 40 to 216 matches the Rfam family "Eukaryotic small subunit ribosomal RNA", at positions 686 to 864 of the family's 1831-position model. The record is from RNAcentral. Lineage: Eukaryota; Fungi; Glomeromycota.
GGGUCAGUAGGUUGGUCGUGCCACCGGUACGUACUGGUCUCACUGAUUCCUCCUUCCUGAAUAACCGUAAUGCCAUUAAUUUGGUGUUGCGGGGAAACAGGACUGUUACUUUGAAAAAAUUAGAGUGUUUAAAGCAAGAUAACGCUUGAAUACAUUAGCAUGGAAUAAUGAAAUAGGACGAUCGAUCCUAUUUUGUUGGUUUCUAGGAUUGACGUA